GUCCCUGUAGCGCAAUGGAUAGCGCAUUGGACUUCUAAUCCAAAGGUCGUGUGUUCGAAUCCUACCUGGGAUA
Molecule: transfer RNA, 73 nt
Filed under: Trichonephila inaurata madagascariensis
Lineage: Eukaryota; Metazoa; Arthropoda; Arachnida; Araneae; Nephilidae
Rfam family: tRNA
About the family: Transfer RNA (tRNA) molecules are approximately 80 nucleotides in length. Their secondary structure includes four short double-helical elements and three loops (D, anti-codon, and T loops).
Source: Rfam by way of RNAcentral